AACGAACGCUGGCGGCAUGCCUAACACAUGCAAGUCGAACGAGACCUUCGGGUCUUUUUGCGCACGUGUGCGUGCCGCCUGGUAACCUGCCCUUAGGUUCGGAAUACCUCCCCGAAAGGGGUGCUAAUACCGGUUAAUCUCUUCCGACCUAAGAUUUCUGGCCUUUGGAUGGGCCCGCGUUGGAUUCGCGAGUUGGUAGUGUACAAGCCUAGCAAGGCGAGGAUCCAUAGCUGGUGGGAGAGGAGGAUAAGCCACAAUGGGACUGAGACACGGCCCAGACUCGUACGGGAGGGAGGAGUGGGGAAUAGUGGACAAUGGGGGAAGGUCUGAUAAAGCAACGCGGGGGGAGUGAGGAAGGGGGUAGGGUUGUAAAGCUGUUUGAGCCGGGGUGAUAAUGACGGUACCGGGAGAAUAAGCACCGGCUAACUACGUG
This 433-nucleotide ribosomal RNA is filed under the name uncultured bacterium. Its description in RNAcentral is "partial 16S ribosomal RNA". It matches the Rfam family "Bacterial small subunit ribosomal RNA", at positions 29 to 507 of the family's 1533-position model. The record is from RNAcentral.